CUGGAUGGGAGGAAGAGAACAGCCCACCCCCUGCAUGUCCCCUGGCUGCCUUACCAACUCCUAGUUGCACAGCUACAUGGCACCCUAUGCCCAUCUGGGCUGCAGCCUUUGCUGCUGCAGCUAGAGUGGAAGUGGGCAGUAUGUGGCUGGGCUGCUGGAAACAAAGCAGUAGUGGGCAGAGUUGAUCUGCUCCUUGCCCACUGCCUGUCAUUCUGUGCCCCCUCCUCACCUCUGAGACUCUGUCCCCUGGCUCUUGUCACAAGCUGUUCAUAAUACCAAGGUUAUAAAAAUGCUGUGCAAUUAAAGAAAAAAGAAACAGGAAAGGCUUUUGAAAACAGCUUUGAGGCAAAGUGCUGAGAAUCACACUUCCUUACCCCACAUAGCAUCUCGGUUUCCAGCUUGAACUCACCAACAAAGACUUUACCCAAAACUUUAGGACCGAUAACCAUGAGUGCUGGAGCCCAAAUGACGAUGGCACCGC
Long non-coding RNA from Heterocephalus glaber (naked mole-rat), 481 nucleotides. Lineage: Eukaryota; Metazoa; Chordata; Mammalia; Rodentia; Bathyergidae. The record is from Ensembl.